RNAcentral lists this transfer RNA (88 nucleotides) under Thermoplasmatales archaeon. Its description in RNAcentral is "tRNA-Leu". It matches the Rfam family "tRNA". From Rfam's summary of the family: Transfer RNA (tRNA) molecules are approximately 80 nucleotides in length. Their secondary structure includes four short double-helical elements and three loops (D, anti-codon, and T loops). Further hydrogen bonds mediate the characteristic L-shaped molecular structure. tRNAs have two regions of fundamental functional importance: the anti-codon, which is responsible for specific mRNA codon recognition, and the 3' end, to which the tRNAs corresponding amino acid is attached (by aminoacyl-tRNA synthetases). tRNAs cope with the degeneracy of the genetic code in two manners: having more than one tRNA (with a specific anti-codon) for a particular amino acid; and 'wobble' base-pairing, i.e. permitting non-standard base-pairing at the 3rd anti-codon position. Lineage: Archaea; Methanobacteriati; Thermoplasmatota; Thermoplasmata; Thermoplasmatales. The record is from RNAcentral.
GCGGGGGUUACCGAGCCUGGCCAAAGGUGAUAGAUUCAGGGUCUAUUCGUUUAGACGUUCGAGGGUUCAAAUCCCUUCCCCCGCACCA